RNAcentral lists this long non-coding RNA (758 nucleotides) under Marmota monax (woodchuck). Lineage: Eukaryota; Metazoa; Chordata; Mammalia; Rodentia; Sciuridae. The record is from RNAcentral.
UUUCAAGGCAAACAGUAUCAGGAAAGUAAGCUGACAUUAGGGCAAUUCCUGAUAAAGCAAUAGGGGAGCAGCAAUGGAGUCACCCUCUCCCCUUUUUGGUACUUGUGGGUGCUCUGCCACUGAACUACAUUCCAGACCUUUUUUUAUUUUGAGAUAGGGUCUUGCUAAGUUGCUCAGGUGACCUUGAACUUGUGAUCCUCCUGCCUCACCCUCCUGAGUCGGUGGGAUUUCAGGAGUGCACCUCCAUGCCUAGUCCCCAUCCUCCAUUUUUUUUUUAAUGGAACCUCUUUCCUUCUGAAAUAAUCCCCGCCUUCUCUGGGCUCCCAUGGCACUUUGCCUCCACCUCCCUUGGAAAACUAGUCACGUUCUGCCUUGAAUGGAGCUUCCUCUACACAUGAGUUGUAAGCCACGGUACCUGGCAGGGUUAUUCUUAAAUCUCCAUAGGUACCCUUCUCUAGCCUUAAGGUUUGUAUCUCAGCAAGUUCGCAGGAGUCUUUUGCACAAUUAGUUUGGUGAUGUGUGUGGUUCCGUCUGUCAGUACAGCUGGUGCAGCUCCUUUCGAAGAAAGACCUCAACCAGUGCUGGUGUUGGCCUCCUCUUUCUCCCCCCACACUCCCUCCUCUGCCACCAUCACUGUCUGUCUCUCUGUCUUGACUUCUCUGGUUACUGGUGAAAGUAUUAAUUGUGUAUUCCUAUUGCUACUAACCAAUUUCAGGUAAGGCUUUCUGUUGAGAUUUUGUUUUUGUUUUGUUUUGUUU